ACAGCAACGUUUCGACCCCUAAGGGCCUUUGUCAAGAUUGACAAAGACCCUUAGGGGUCGAAACGUUGCUGUUUGGUUCCUUGUUCCAAUAAAGAAUGCCUAUAUUUUGGAAUUCAUUGGAAUGCCUGGAUUAUUUUCUAUAUUCAUAUCAUAGAUCAUGGCAGUCUUACAUUGUCUUGUUUAACCCCUUAAGGACACAUGACGGAAAUAUUCCGUCAUGAUUCCCUUU
This is a non-coding RNA of Pelobates cultripes (western spadefoot toad), 229 nucleotides long. Lineage: Eukaryota; Metazoa; Chordata; Amphibia; Anura; Pelobatidae. The record is from the annotation of a GenBank genome assembly.